GCGGGGUCUGAGAUGAACCUGACAUCUGCUGGGAGGCAAAACAAACGCACCUCCUUCAGACAAUCCCUCGCUAUUUGUAGUGAGCGAGCUCAAGCAGGCUUCCUGAGCCCUCUGCUGCGCCGGACGGCUUCAGCCAAGAUGUCUCUGAGAAGAGAAGCCUCCACACUGUUCAUCCAACAUGGCAAAGUCAGCCAGAGGAGGAGGGAGUGGGAAACAAAGGCUGCUGCUUGAUACCACCUCACCAUGAAGAAUAUGGACCUGUACUACCACACACCACCACCAACACACACGCACCACCAACACGUACCACCAACACACACCAUCAACACACACCACCACCAUGCACCACCAACACACACCACCAGCAACACGCACCGCCAACACACACCAACACACACCAUCAACACACACCACCCACCACCACCACCAACAUGCACCACCAACACGCACCACCAACACACACCACACACCACCACCACCAACAUGCACCACCAACACACUCCAUCAACACACACCACCACCACACCACACCACCACCAACAUGCACCACCAACACACAACAGCACCACACACCAACACACACCACCACCACCACCAACACACACCAUCAACACACCUUCAACACACACCACCAACACACACCAUCAACACACCACCAACACACACCAUCAACACACCACCAAGACUCAACACCAAGACACGCCACCAAUACACCACCAACACACCACCAACACACAACCAACACACACCAUCAACACACCAUCAACACAUACCACAAAACACAACCACCAACACACACCACUAACACACAACACCAACACACACCAUCAACACACCACCAACACGCCAUCAACACACCACCAACACACACCACAAAUGCACAACACCAACACAUACUAUCAACACACCACCAACACACAGUCCAAUAAAUACACACCACCAACACAUAGUCCAGUAAACAUACAUCACCAACACAUAGUCCAAUAAACACAAUCAAUCAACACGCAGUUAUCAGACGCUUGUACAAACAGAAGCCAUUAGGACAUUGAUCAAAAAUAUAUUCAACACUAGUAUGUUCUGUUAGGUGACAUUCCACGUGGAUUGCUCCCUCCAGGUUGGGGAUGAGCUGUUGCCUCAAGUGAAGGAGUUCAAGUAUCUUGGGGUCUUGUUCACGAGUGAGAGUAGGAUGGAGCAGGAGAUGUGACAGACGGAUUGGUGCAGCAUCAGCAGUAAUGCGAACGUUGUACCGGACCGUUGUGGUGAAGAGGGAGCUGAGACAGAAGGCAAAGCUCUCAAUUUACCAGACAGUCUUCGUUCCAACCCUCACCUAUGGUCAUGAGCUUUGGGUAGUGACCGAAAGGGUGAGAUCGCAGAUACAAGUAGCUGAAAUGAGUUUCCUCCGUAGGGUGUCUGGGCUCAGCCUUAGAGAUAGGGUGAGGAGCUCGAACAUCCAGAGGGAGCUCAGAGUAGAGCCACUGCUCCUUCGCAUCGAACGGAGCCAGUUGAGGUGGUUUGGGCAUCUGAUUAGGAUGUCUCCUGGGCGCCUUCCUUUGGAGGUUUUCCGGGCACGGCCAACUGGGAGGAGACCCCGGGAUAGACCCAGAACUCGCUGGAGGGACUACAUGUCCAAUCUGGCCUGGGAACACCUUGGGAUCCCCCAGCAGGAGCUGGAGGGUGUUGCUGGGGAGAGGGACGUCUGGAGUGCCCUACUUAGCUUGCUGCCACCACGACCCGAUCCCGGAGAAGCGGCUGAAGAUGAAUGAAUGAAUGAAAAAUUAAUGUUCUGUUAGUUUUAUCUGUUUAGAUCUUGUCAUUUCCCUGACGAAUGUUGCAACACACACACACACAGACACACAUACACACACACACCAAUACAAACGGAUAACGACACAUUCCUUGUUACAGGAAGGAAGUGGAUGUAGUUUACUGUCAUUUCAUUAUGUACCUGCGUACAAGAAAAAACGAAAUGCUGUUUCUCCCAGUCCACAGCAGUGCAACAGAAAAGAUAAAAUAUAUAUAUAUAUCUAAAAACUGUCUAAUUUUUUUCCUUUUUCUACCAUUUAGAAAGAAAGAGUUUUAAAAGUGUUUUGAGUAGUUUAAAUGUUUAGACGGGUUUGGUGACCAGUGGUCCUGUAAGCACAGCAGACAUGUAAGCACAGCAGACAUGUAAGCACAGCAGGCAUGUAAGCACAGCAGACAUGUAAGCACAGCGGUCCUGUAAGCACAGCAGACAUGUAAGCACAGCGGUCCUGUAAGCACAGCGGUCCUGUAAGUACAGCAGUCCUGUAAGCACAGCAGUCCUGUAAGCACAGCAGUCGUGGUUUCUGCUGCGGUUGUUUCGUGUUCAGCUGAGACGACGAGCCGGACCGUGGAACUGUUAUACUGUCAUUACUUCUAAUUUUAUUGAAAAUUAAAGGUAAUCACAAGAAUGUUAACAAUGAUAAGAAUCAAAAGUGACAAAGUCCAUUAUAGCCGUUGAUAACAUGUAGAAUAUCCUGUUUGUAAAGGGGUAUAAGAUUUGAACAAAACAAUGUUAAAGAAGUUAAGAAACGAGACUUAAUUAAAACAGUGUUAAAUCUGGUUUUGAGAAGUGAUUUAAACGUGACACUGAAAUGACAAGUAAAUGCCAGAAGUCUUCCCAUCCGAAUAUUGAUUUUUUUAUUUUCAGGAGAAUCUGCUUUCUUUGAGUCUCUGUAGUAAAACAGAGGUGUAUCUGUUCUCACCAUGCUCAACUUUGAUAACCUUAUUAAGUUAUUAAUAACCCCAGGCCGUCCCAGGUCCUUUCUGUGUGGCGCUUGCAUGUUCUCCCCAUGUCUGCGUGGGUUUUCUCCGGGUGCUCCAGUUUCCUCCCACCAUCAAAAAGACAUGCGCGUUAGGGUUAAUACUCCUGCCUGUGCCCCUGAGCAAGGCAAUGGAAAGAAGAACUGGAGUUGGUCCCCAUGCGCUGCACGGCGGCUGCCCACUGCUGCUACCUACAUGGCUAACAUGGGUUAAAUGCAGAGGAUGCAUCUCCCCACAGGGAUCGGUCUUACUCCUGCUCAGUUCAACAAGUGUAAUUGUAUUUUGCUAUAUCAAAAAGUCUUUUGGUCAACAGUUUUUAUGUAAAUC
Long non-coding RNA from Lampris incognitus (smalleye Pacific opah), 3108 nucleotides. RefSeq lists it as uncharacterized. The record is from RefSeq and is a predicted model, not a curated record. NCBI's taxonomy places the organism in Eukaryota, Metazoa, Chordata, Actinopteri, Lampriformes, Lampridae. The transcript is spliced from 3 exons.